GAUGAACGCUAGCUACAGGCUUAACACAUGCAAGUCGAGGGGAAACGACAUCGAAAGCUUGCUUUUGAUGGGCGUCGACCGGCGCACGGGUGAGUAACGCGUAUCCAACCUGCCCACCACUUGGGGAUAACCUUGCGAAAGUAAGACUAAUACCCAAUGACGUCUCUAGAAGACAUCUGAAAGAGAUUAAAGAUUUAUCGGUGAUGGAUGGGGAUGCGUCUGAUUAGCUUGUUGGCGGGGUAACGGCCCACCAAGGCGACGAUCAGUAGGGGUUCUGAGAGGAAGGUCCCCCACAUUGGAACUGAGACACGGUCCAAAACUCCUACGGGAGGCAGCAGUGAGGAAUAUUGGUCAAUGGGCGAGAGCCUGAACCAGCCAAGUAGCGUGCAGGAUGACGGCCCUAUGGGUUGUAAAACUGCUUUUAUAAGGGAAUAAAGUGAGUCUCGUGAGACUUUUUGCAUGUACCUUAUGAAUAAGGACCGGCUAAUUCCGUGCCAGCAGCCG
RNAcentral lists this ribosomal RNA (504 nucleotides) under uncultured bacterium. RNAcentral describes it as "bacterial SSU rRNA". It matches the Rfam family "Bacterial small subunit ribosomal RNA", at positions 28 to 517 of the family's 1533-position model. The record is from RNAcentral.